GAGAAAGAAAGGAGAGCCUUCUCUCUUUCUCUCUUUCUCUCUAACUCACACCUCACAUCUCUCUCUCCACCUCUUUUGUAAUUUCUCCAUCAAAGAGGAAAGAAAUGGAGAUUUUGAAAGUUUCAAGUGGAGAAGAAGCUUGAUGGAGCUCUCCAAUGGUGGAUUAAGUUUCUUUUCCAAGAUGGCCAUGGAUAAUUCGACGCGGAGGACAACUUCGUUUUGGAUUACAACGAGGUUACGGCGUUCAAUUGAGAGAUUUGCGGAAUUUGGUUCGUUAGGCUUGGGUCGAGCUAAAAUGGCAACAGUAAAUUGCAGGACUUGAUUUCUCACUUCUUGACGUCGAUAUGAGUGGUAGGUAUAGGGUUGCCGAGAGAGGACCGCGGCAAGGGCA
Molecule: long non-coding RNA, 391 nt
Organism: Ananas comosus (pineapple)
Lineage: Eukaryota; Viridiplantae; Streptophyta; Magnoliopsida; Poales; Bromeliaceae
Exons: 3
Source: RefSeq, a predicted model, not a curated record